GUGGGGAAUCUUGCACAAUGGGCGAAAGCCUGAUGCAGCGACGCCGCGUGAGCGAUGAAGGCCUUCGGGUUGUAAAGCUCUGUGGGGAGGGACGAAUAUGGGUUGGCUAAUAUCCAGCUCGAUGACGGUACCUCCUUAGCAAGCACCGGCUAACUCUGUGCCAGCAGCCGCGGUAAGACAGAGGGUGCAAACGUUGUUCGGAAUCACUGGGCGUAAAGCGCGUGUAGGCGGCUACGUAAGUCGGACGUGAAAUCCCACGGCUCAACCGUGGAAGUGCGCUCGAAACUGUGUAGCUUGAGUCCUGGAGAGGAAGACGGAAUACUUGGUGUAGAGGUGAAAUUCGUAGAUAUCAGGUAGAACACCAGUGGCGAAGGCGGUCUUCUGGACAGUGACUGACGCUGAGACGCGAAAGCGUGGGGAGCAAACAGGAUUAGAAACCCUAGUAGUCC
RNAcentral lists this ribosomal RNA (449 nucleotides) under uncultured bacterium. RNAcentral describes it as "bacterial SSU rRNA". It matches the Rfam family "Bacterial small subunit ribosomal RNA", at positions 354 to 796 of the family's 1533-position model. The record is from RNAcentral.